Molecule: ribosomal RNA, 497 nt
Filed under: uncultured bacterium
Lineage: Bacteria
Description: partial 16S ribosomal RNA
Rfam family: Bacterial small subunit ribosomal RNA
Source: RNAcentral
GAUGAACGCUGGCGGCGUGCCUAAUACAUGCAAGUCGAGCGAACGGACGAGAAGCUUGCUUCUCUGAUGUUAGCGGCGGACGGGUGAGUAAAACGUGGAUAACCUACCUAUAAGACUGGGAUAACUUCGGGAAACCGUAGCUAAUACCGGAUAAUAUUUUGAACCGCAUGGUUCAAAAGUGAAAGACGGUCUUGCUGUCACUUAUAGAUGGAUCCGCGCUGCAUUAGCUAGUUGGUAAGGUAACGGCUUACCAAGGCAACGAUGCAUAGCCGACCUGAGAGGGUGAUCGGCAACACUGGAACUGAGACACGGUCCAGACUCCUACGGGAGGCAGCAGUAGGGAAUCUUCCGCAAUGGGCGAAAGCCUGACGGAGCAACGCCGCGUGAGUGAUGAAGGUCUUCGGAUCGUAAAACUCUGUUAUUAGGGAAGAACAUAUGUGUAAGUAACUGUGCACAGCUUGACGGUACCUAAUCAGAAAGCCACGGCUAACUACGUG